RNAcentral lists this unclassified non-coding RNA (726 nucleotides) under Hevea brasiliensis (rubber tree). The record is from RNAcentral. Lineage: Eukaryota; Viridiplantae; Streptophyta; Magnoliopsida; Malpighiales; Euphorbiaceae.
UGGUUGCUAUUGCUAGCUCUUGAGAAUUAUAUUAAGUUGAAGAAGUUGCAGGGCAACUCUCCUUUGGCGGAUCAUCAAAAAAAUAGAGCAACUAAGUUACCAUCUAUCAUAUAUGAUAAUCCGUGCCAGAGGAGAGAAGCCCUACAACUAGUUCACUUACUCUUGUAGCUUGCACACAGAGGUGCAGGCAAUGAAGCAGGAGCUUUAUAGGGGCCUUCCUGGAAGGAAUAAGCUGUUGAAGAAAUAGCAUAUGCCUUAUGGAUAUCCUUUAUAGUGCCUGCUUUCUACGCAUUCCAUGCAAUGCGUUUCCUUUUAUCUGAUAAAGGGCUACAACUAAUAUUUGAGAGAUUCUACUUUGCAUGAUUUAGACCCAACCCCUGUAUGUUUUUUUGUUCAUCUUUUUUCUCUCUCUUUAUUGCUUCCCUGUCCAUGUAUUGGAGGUGGUGAAGGGAGCGGGAAGAAAAAAGCAGUGAUGAAGAAGGAGAUGCCUUCUUUUGCCUAAGUGAAGGUGGCAGCAGCAAAGUCUGGGCCUGUAGGUAUAUCCUUUGUCAUAUUCCAUGAGGGAUUAUAUGAGCAACCCUUGGAUUAGAUUUUUAUCUUUGUCCACUCAGAAUUAUUCCCUUCGACUUUAAUAUAAAUUGAUAAUUGAAUAAAUAUAAAUUAGUAAAAAACCCUAGCACUAGUCUUUGAAGUGGCAAGGCGAAGGAAGGACACAUAGUAAUUGAA